RNAcentral lists this ribosomal RNA (332 nucleotides) under Chihuahuanus globosus. Its description in RNAcentral is "partial 12S ribosomal RNA". The record is from RNAcentral. Lineage: Eukaryota; Metazoa; Arthropoda; Arachnida; Scorpiones; Vaejovidae.
UAAAGUUUAUGAGAUUAGGUAGUAAAGAAAUUUCUGAAACCUAAAGAAUUUGGCGGUAUUUAAAAUAAUUGGAGGAACCUGUUAUUUAAUUGACAAUCCACAACAUAUCUUUCCUAAAUUUUAUUUGUAUAUCGUCGUUUUGAUAAUAUUUAAAAAUUAUAAUCAAUAUUAAUAAAUUUUAAAAAAUCAGAUCAAGGUGCAGUAUAUCUAGGUUAUAAUGGGUUACAAUAUAUCUAUAUAUGAAAUGGAUAUUAAAUUAAAAUCAUAUUGAAAGUGGAUUCAAAAGUAAUAUUAAAUUAAAAUGUUAAUUUGAUUUAUAAUUUUAAAUAUGC